AUAUCAAUAAGCGGAGGAAAAGAAACUAACAAGGAUUCCCCUAGUAACUGCGAGUGAAGCGGGAAAAGCUCAAAUUUAAAAUCUGGUGGCCUUUGGUCGCUCGAGUUGUAAUUUAGAGAAGCGUCUUCCGCGCUGGACCGUGCACAAGUCUCCUGGAAUGGAGCGUCAUAGAGGGUGAGAAUCCCGUCUUUGGCACGGAUGCACCAGGGCUUUCGUGAUGCGCUCUCAAAGAGUCGAGUUGUUUGGGAAUGCAGCUCAAAAUGGGUGGUGAACUCCAUCUAAAGCUAAAUAUUGGCGAGAGACCGAUAGCGAACAAGUACCGUGAGGGAAAGAUGAAAAGCACUUUGGAAAGAGAGUGAAACAGUACGUGAAAUUGUUGAAAGGGAAACACUUAAAGUCAGUCGCGUCGACCGAGACUCAGCCUUGCUUUGGCUUGGUGUUCUUCUCGGCCGACGGGUCAGCAUCAAUUUUGCCCCUCGGAUAAUGGCAAGAGAAAGGUAGCACCUUUACGGGUGUGUUAUAGUCUCCUGUCGCAUGCGAGGGUCAGGAUUGAGGAACUCAGCACGCGCCUCUUGGUGUCGGGGCUUCGGCCCACGCUACGUGCUUAGGAUGCUGGCGUAAUGGCUUUAAAUGACCCGUCUUGAAACACGGACCAAGGAGUCUAACAUGCCCGCGAGUGUUCGGGUGGAAAACCCGUGCGCGUAAUGAAAGUGAAAGUUGGGACCCCUGUCGUGGGGGGCACCGACGCCCGGACCAGACCUUCUGUGACGGAUCUGCGGUAGAGCGUGCAUGUUGGGACCCGAAAGAUGGUGAACUAUGCCUGAAUAGGGUGAAGCCAGAGGAAACUCUGGUGGAGGCUCGUAGCGAUUCUGACGUGCAAAUCGAUCGUCAAAUUUGGGUAUAGGGGCGAAAGACUAAUCGAACCAUCUAGUAGCUGG
This 938-nucleotide ribosomal RNA is filed under the name Russula griseobrunnea. RNAcentral describes it as "partial large subunit ribosomal RNA". It matches the Rfam family "Eukaryotic large subunit ribosomal RNA", at positions 40 to 954 of the family's 3401-position model. Lineage: Eukaryota; Fungi; Basidiomycota; Agaricomycetes; Russulales; Russulaceae. The record is from RNAcentral.